GGAUGGUAACCUCAGAAAGCAAGAAUGUGAAGCUCACUGUGAGCAAUGUGCUGAAAGAGAUAAAAAUUCUUAACAUCUUUGGAGUUAUUAAAGGCUUUGUAGAACCAGAUCACUAUGUUGUAGUUGGGGCCCAGAGAGAUGCAUGGGGCCCUGGAGCUGCAAAAUCCGGUGUAGGCACAGCUCUCCUAUUGAAACUUGCCCAGAUGUUCUCAGUUAUGGUCUUAAAAGAUGGGUUUCAGCCCAGCAGAAGCAUUAUCUUUGCCAGUUGGAGUGCUGGAGACUUUGGAUCGGUUGGUGCCACUGAAUGGCUGGAGGGAUACCUUUCGUCCCUGCAUUUAAAGGCUUUCACUUACAUUAAUCUGGAUAAAGCGGUUCUUGGUAAGUAUCCCUUUCAUUAGCUGUUUAUGAAUUCAGGUAAACUUUUUUGAGAUGGAGUUUUGCUCUUGUCGCCCAGGCUGGAGUGCAAUGGCACGAUCUCGGCUCACUGCAACCUCUGUCUCCCAGAUUCAAGCGAUUCUCCUGCCUUAGCCUCCUGAGUAGCUGGGAUUACAGGUGCUCACUACCACACC
Molecule: small RNA, 569 nt
Filed under: Pan troglodytes (chimpanzee)
Lineage: Eukaryota; Metazoa; Chordata; Mammalia; Primates; Hominidae
Description: retained intron
Source: RNAcentral